Molecule: long non-coding RNA, 1096 nt
Organism: Zingiber officinale
Lineage: Eukaryota; Viridiplantae; Streptophyta; Magnoliopsida; Zingiberales; Zingiberaceae
Exons: 4
Source: RefSeq, a predicted model, not a curated record
UUCACUUCUCCCAUCUUCGCCCGAUCGUCAUCUCACGCCUCAUCUCGCGAGCGUCUUUCCUUCCCUGACUCAUUGCCGAUGCAAAUCACUGGCUGGCGAUGUGCCCUAGCACCGCACAGAUCCAUCAUCUUCUCCCUCUCCCGUGUCUUACCAUCGAAUCACUCCGAUCACUUCUCUCGAACCAUUGCUGCCAUCACCUGAGCGCUGCUCACCGCCGCCGCCCCUUCUCGAGAGACCAGAUCAUGUGAGGCCAGAUUCCUCAUCCUCUCCUUGUGUCUGCAAUGCCUGAUUCGCCUGACGCCGCCGACCACGCUGCGCCGAUUGUCGCAAACCCAAUCGUCAUAUUGCCUUGACUACCAAACAUCGGUACCCUAGCUUCGAUUCCUUUCUCCCCGAUUCUUCUCACUGCCAUGACCUAAUCCAUCACUGCUGGCACCUCUUGUCGCUUGGCCUGAUCGGGUUUCCUCCGCAAGCAUGGGUCGUUGUUGUUAGCCCCUUUUUUUCCACGAGUCUCCAUCGUCCCUUCGGUCGUGCCCUAGUUUUGGAUCCACUGUCGUCACUCUCUCCAUCAGAGAUCACCUCAGCCAUCGGUCGCCACUCUUCCGACCAUAAGAAGCACUAUGACCUGGCUAAAUUCAGGCCAGCAAGUGUUGUUUUGGGGUACUUGGCAUAGAGGACAGUAGCUUCACAAUCCUCCGGCCAUUAAUUCCGAUAGCUAUUGCUCCAACCGCAAGUUAACAGAGGAGCGUAUGGAUUUAGACCUUUGAUUCGAGACAAGUAUCUCGACGUGGGAUUUCUUAACACGAUUGACAGAUAAAGCAGGUAAAGGAUUAAUGGAUUCGUAUGGAGAUCCUGUCCACCAGUCCCAUGUCACAUCGAGCGACUUCUUCUGUUAUUGCUCCCGUUCGCAUUAUUGGCUUUGGACUUAUUUGUGUAUAUAUAUCUUUUAUAUGAAGUUUAGCUUUGUGGUUUGUUUUAUUUGGUUUGAUGUUGUGGUGUCAAGCCGAGCUGGCUCGUAGUUAGUUGUAUUGUGAUUUUGCGUUCAUUAUUUUGUGACUCCACUGUGUUUUACUACAAUUGUGUGGGUUGUUUACUA